RNAcentral lists this ribosomal RNA (465 nucleotides) under uncultured bacterium. RNAcentral's name for it is "bacterial SSU rRNA". It matches the Rfam family "Bacterial small subunit ribosomal RNA", at positions 917 to 1382 of the family's 1533-position model. The record is from RNAcentral.
GGGCCCGCACAAGCGGUGGAGCAUGUGGUUUAAUUCGAUGCAACGCGAAGAACCUUACCUAGGCUUGACAUGCAGGGGACAGGUGUAGAAAUACAUCCUUCCUUCGGGACCCCUGUACAGGUGCUGCAUGGCUGUCGUCAGCUCGUGUCGUGAAAUGUUGGGUUAAGUCCCGCAACGAGCGCAACCCUUGUCUUUAGUUGCCAUCAGGUAAUGCUGGGGACUCUAGAGAGACUGCCGGUGACAAACCGGAGGAAGGUGGGGAUGACGUCAAGUCCUCAUGGCCCUUACGCCUAGGGCUACACACGUGCUACAAUGGUCGGUACAAAGGGCAGCAAUGCCGCGAGGUGGAGCAAAUCCCAAAAAGCCGGCCUCAGUUCGGAUCGAAGUCUGCAACUCGACUUCGUGAAGUUGGAAUCGCUAGUAAUCGCGUAUCAGAACGACGCGGUGAAUACGUUCCCGGGCCUU